ACGGCUCAGUAACACGUGGACAACCUACCCUUCGGUCCGGCAUAAUCCUGGGAAACUGGGGAUAAUUUCGGAUAGGUCACAGAUGCUGGAAUGCUCUGUGGCUCAAAGCUCCGGCGCCGAAGGAUGGGUCUGCGGCCUAUCAGGGUUGUAGUGGGUGUAACGUACCUACUAGCCUACGACGGGUACGGGUUGUGAGAGCAAGAGCCCGGAGAUGGAUUCUGAGACACGAAUCCAGGCCCUACGGGGUGCAGCAGGCGCGAAAACUUUACAAUGCGGGAAACCGUGAUAAGGGAAUCUCGAGUGCCAGCAUAUAAUGUUGGCUGUCCAGAUGCCUAAAAAGCAUUUGUUAGCAAGGGCCGGGCAAGACCGGUGCCAGCCGCCGCGGUAACACCGGCGGCCCGAGUGGUAACCGUUUUUAUUGGGUCUAAAGGGUCUGUAGCCGGCCAUGUAAGUCCCUUGGGAAAUCUGGCAGCUCAACUGUCAGGCUGCUAGGGGAUACUGCUUGGCUUGGGACCGGGAGAGGUGAGAGGUACCUUGAGGGUAGGGGUGAAAUCUUGUGAUCCUCGAGGGACCACCAGUGGCGAAGGCGUCUCACCAGAACGGGUCCGACGGUAAGGGACGAAAGCUAGGGGCACGAACCGGAUUAGAUACCCGGGUAGUCCUAGCCGUAAACGAUGCUCGCUAGGUGUCAGUCACGGUGCGACCGUGAUUGGUGCCGUAGGGAAGCCGUGAAGCGAGCCACCUGGGAAGUACGGCCGCAAGGCUGAAACUUAAAGGAAUUGGCGGGGGAGCAC
Molecule: ribosomal RNA, 794 nt
Filed under: uncultured archaeon
Lineage: Archaea
Description: bacterial SSU rRNA
Rfam family: Archaeal small subunit ribosomal RNA
Source: RNAcentral